This 216-nucleotide ribosomal RNA is filed under the name Glomeromycotina sp. RNAcentral's name for it is "partial small subunit ribosomal RNA". The stretch from base 54 to 216 matches the Rfam family "Eukaryotic small subunit ribosomal RNA", at positions 700 to 864 of the family's 1831-position model. The record is from RNAcentral. Lineage: Eukaryota; Fungi; Glomeromycota.
GGGUCAGUAGGUUGGUCGUGCCACCGGUACGUACUGGUCUCACUGACUCCUCCUUCCUGAAGAACCGUAAUGCCAUUUAUUUGGUGUUGCGGGGAAACAGGACUGUUACUUUGAAAAAAUUAGAGUGUUUAAAGCAAGCUAACGCUUGAAUACAUUAGCAUGGAAUAAUGAAAUAGGACGAUCGAUCCUAUUUUGUUGGUUUCUAGGAUUGACGUA